UAUCAACUUUAUUUUAUUCACAAUUAUUUAUAAAAUAUAUAUAAUAAUAUAAAGAGAAACAGCUAUUUAUAUGAAUAAUAAUAAUAAUAACCGUCAUCACGUAGACUAUACAUUAGACACUGUAUAGACAUCAUAUUAAGACUAUACUUAAGUAAUAAAAAUCUUACGUUACGGACGAACUUCGUUCCAAAAAAUAUAUAUUUAUAUUUAGCAUUAAUAUAUUUAAUAUUAAGUGAGUUACAUACGAUUAUAAUACUAUUCUGUAAUGGUUAAAUUUAAUACAUAGUCUACGGCGAACAAAAUUGCCGCACUGCAAUACCGACUUUUAUAUGAAGCAAAGAAAGGUGUGUGUUUUCACACACCUGUGACAUAAUCGAAGUUUCAAUCGUGCCGUUCUCCCAUCAUACUUAAACCGGAACUCAACGGACUGCUUUGUGACAGAUAUAGGUUAGUAGUAAAAGUAUCAUUUUCAGAACAAAAUCUACUCUCGCAGACUGCACGAAAAAAAAUCAAACAAACCCAUAACCAAAUCAACAACGUCAUUGACGGCUAACACAAUAGUCUAAGUUUUUAUACCUAGACAUUUCCAUAGUACACCCAGAUACAUUUCUGUUACAAUUUAAAAUAUUUUAUUAAUUAACGACCCUUUAAUUAAGCUUAACAAACAAAUUGAAGCAAACAAUAUUAACAAAUACAAUAAAUUUAUUUAAAUAAACAGAAGCUUAAAAUGAAGUUUCAGAAAAUGUACAGAAAUUGAAAUUGCAUUUGGAAAGUAGGUUUAAUAUCGAAAGAGAAAAUCGAACUGAACUUUAUUGACAUUUUAUCAGUCGCAAGUAAACAGUUUGUUUUGCUUUCAUGAAUGAACUUCAAAGUAAAUUAAUAACUGUACCAAAUCAAAUGAUACUGUCAAGACUUUUGUGAAGGUUGUUUUUUCUUUGACACGCCUUCAGCAAUCAUAGCAACACUGUACCUGGGAAAAAUACGGUGUGCUUAUUGAUCGAAAACACGCGCAGGCGUCUCAACUGGUGUCCUGGAUUUAAUUAACCAAAAUAAAAUUGUUUGCAACUACAAUGUUUUUCUUUCAUUCAUUCAUUUAAAUAUACAAUAACAAAUAUAAAAAUUCAAGUAAUAUGAAAUUGAAAAAAUAGAACGGUGCAACAAACCCUCUCAGUUCGAACAUUGCGUUUUAUCGGGCUUUAUUUUCCAACAGUGUGAGCUUUGGUCCAGUUGGCGAGGGUCCGCGCAUGCCUCGUACAGCUUGUGAGGUUCUAUCAAAAUAAUUGGCGGAAUUGUCAGUGAUGUAAAGAACAGGCUACGCCGCCGGUGUUCCGGCAGGCGCAAAAACAUGAUACACUUAAUUUUACUAAUGUAUCCAUACAAAUAAGACUAAAAAAGCAUACGAUAAUUAAGCUUGAUGGUUUAUGUCAAUUUGUGUAGUGAAUGUCCUUGUUACGUAGAGUAAUUCGAUAUAUGAAAUAUCUCUUAGGAAAUUAGCAGAAUUCCGCUGGUAGCCAAAAUGCCGGACUGGACUUGGAUGUUGUUUUCGGCGCUAUUCGGAGCUGUGUCUGCGCUAACUGUUCCACUGUUACUUCUCAUGUAUUACGUACGGCCGUUUGAAAAGAGAACUCAAGAACUGGACCAAUUUAACAUGCCAGUCACUUUGCCUCUGGAAAUUCUGAACGAGCUUACACGUGGAGCCGGCAGCACUCCCGAGGGCGCUCUGAACGCGAUGCUGCAGUUCAUAUUCCAACAAAGCACUGCUGAUACUCGCUGGUUACGACGCCGUAUGGCUACCGAACUAGCUGAGUUGCUUGCUAAAACAUCUUCAGGAAAGAUAUUUGAAUCUCUAACGCUACGUUCCUUGGAAGUUGGCACUGAGUUUCCUAGUAUCAACAAUCUUCACCUACUUAGCGGCGAAUUGGAGGAAGAUGGGGCAAGACUCAGGUCCUUGGAUCUAAAAUUCGAUCUUGCCUACGACGGAAACUUCAGGAUUGACGUAGACGCUGUGAUGCUGCUCGGCAAGAUUGCUAAUAUAUCGAUUACUGUUGAAAGUCUAAGCGGCAAUGUACGACUCAUGUUUCGACGCACUCCGUAUACCCAUUGGGCGCUUGCUUUUGAAGCGCCGCCAAAGUUGGAGUUGAAAGUCCGAGGUCGAUUCCAAGGGCGGCAAUUAAAGCCAAGACUGGCAUCGCUGGUCGCGGCCCAUAUCAGGAGGGCAGUCGCACAACGGCACACCCUUCCCAAUUAUAAGAUAAGAUACAAACCAUUCUUCCCAAAAUCUGAGCCGGGUAGUGGAGAAGCUGAUGACGGUCCCACCCCUCAAGGUCGACUGACGGUACGACUUGUCGAAGUUACCCGAUUGCAGUGGGCAGGAGCGAAUGGGACAGUAAGGGCUGCUUUAGCUGUGGAUUCACAUGCAUGGGUAUCCCUACGUCGUGGUGUUUUAGUGUUGGAUGUAGUGUUGCCAGCAGUCUCCGGUCCGCUUGGCCUCGUUUGCUGCCAGGGUGUCGGCGUGGUGCUGGUAGAUACAGUAGUGCCAAUGUCGCCGGCAUAUCGCGCCGAUUUACGACGAGACGAUGUUGUACUGGCCAUCGAUAAUAAGCCUAUUAAUAAUGUCGCUCAGGUUGGCAAACUCCUUCGUCUGGUAGAAAGACGUGCUGUCACCGUGCGAGUUCGACGAGGCGGCAGUGGAAACUCAGCGCGCCGUGAAGACAACGCCGUCGAACCGAAACGGAUCAAACCUAACUUUUCAUUCAGAAGAGUUUCCGAAGUAAUGGAGGGAGUUAGACUGCAGGGUAUUAGAGCUGCGGCUUCUAAGAGUAAUUUACAGGAAUCCGAAUCACCGGUUAAAGCUUCUGUUGAAUCACACAACGAGACUGACGCACAAUCCAAACCAAAAACAGAACCGGUUCGUCAACUUUCCAAGUCAAAUGACCAGCCUUCACCUUCAGCCAAUUUCGGUCUUCGUAAGCGCCGUUGUUCCGUGGAAAAUAAAUCUUCCGAUAGUUCUGCGGGCAGCACACCACCGGCUUCUGGAGCCAGUACACCCUUACGACAGUCCACCGCUGUGAACAAAACCGUCAAACACCCCGAAAUACCUAUUAUUAGAACUGAUUCCUCCGAAUGUAAAGUUACGGAGAGAGUUGAAACACUUUUAGAUGAUGAUGAAUUAUUCGAAACAGGCGGCCCCAGACAAUGCGAACAUGUUGAGAUAUGCCAAAUGUUUUUGACUAAAAGCAUCCAGCUCAAGCCCAUCAUACCGUUUGAUGAAGAAACCGAAUUCAAAUUGAACGAGAAUCAUAAAUAUUUAAAUAUAAACGUAUGGGCAACGGUAACAGGAGAGAAAGAUGAAGUUCUGUUGGGAUACUUGAAUAUUCCACUAGCCGCGUUAUUGAGCGAAUGCCAGGACUCGACAGUUCCACAUCAUAUGAAACGAUAUCAGUUUUUACCUCCCGAUGUCGAUAUUAAAUUUAGCAAAAGCCACAAACUGGCUUCACAUGCAGGCUUCGAGCCAUGUCUAUGUUUUGGAGACGCUCUGGUUUGGUGGGAAUGGGAUGGGGCAGCUACUCGCAGCGCUCCUCGUCCUCCUGUGAAAGACUCAGCGCCUCCUCGGCCCCCCAAAUUGACCAGAGCUGUUCACGAUUUUGUACGAACUCACUUCCACAGAUCUACUCAAUGCGAUUUUUGCAAUAAAAAGAUUUGGUUGAAAGACGCAAUGCAAUGCCGUAGUUGUGGUCUUUGUUGCCAUAAAAAAUGCGUUACAAAGUGUCAAGAGUCUUCGCCGUGCGUACCUAAACAAGACUUAGGCUUGAGCUGUCCUCCUCCUGAACUGAUUAUGACAGAAGCUGACUCGGUUCCCGAUCCUGACUCCGACGAAGAACCCGAUAGAAAAGAUUCACUUGAAGUUCAUGAAGAAGACGAAUUGCUUGAAUGCUGACAUUUGGGAAGCAAUACACUAUUCUAACACACCCGGACUCAUUCGACUUGUCCCUACGACUGUGCAGGCGGCGGCGCUAUGAGCGCGCUGGUGGCGGGGCUACGGCGUGCUGGCUCUGCACACUCGCUCUCGGCUCCCAAAACGUCUGCUUCUUCCAGGUCCUUACCACCCUCACCAA
RNA transcript from Bombyx mori (domestic silkworm), 4115 nucleotides. It is a transcript of the gene named PDZ domain-containing protein 8, with no coding region annotated. The transcript has 14 exons. The record is from RefSeq and is a predicted model, not a curated record. Lineage: Eukaryota; Metazoa; Arthropoda; Insecta; Lepidoptera; Bombycidae.